CGUCGCACAGGACUCCCAUACUAACUGUGUCCUUAUCACCCUUUCAGGAUAAAUGGCUCUGAGUGGAAAAGUUGCCAUUGUUACUGGGGGCUUGCAGGGGCUGGGAAAAGCCUUCACAGAGAUCCUUCUGAAAUAUGGAGCAAAGGUGAGCCUCUUGGAUAUUAAAGUGCCCACCGGAAAUAAACUGAAAGCUGCUUUAGAUAAAUAGUGUGGUUCAGACCGUACCUGCUUAAUUUCCUGCGAUGUCACUUCAGAAACACAGCUUCAAGGAUGCCUCUCGAAUGAGUGACUACGGGGUGCGGAUAAAUGUGUUGUGUCCUUCUUUCGCAAAAACUGACAUACUGGAAACUUUCAACACAGACGAUCUCAUGGGACAGUUCUCCAACCUCAGACAAACUACAUAGAAACUACUGGAGCAUAUUGGAGUAUUAGAGUGAGUUUCAUUCUAGUCUCUGCUCUGGUGGCAGUGUGGUGUGGCAGAGCUUGAUUUUAAGGAUCAGCAGCAUCUAAUACAAAGUGUGGCUUAUCUGCUUUUUGCCAUUUAUACCCCCCACCCCCAAUCUCACCCUCUGUAUUUUAUAAAUAUUUUUUGGCAAUUGUUCAGAAUUGCAUUCUAAAGACACAUUCAUUCCUCUAGCGGCUGGAACAGCUGCAGUUACAUUACUGACAGCACGCUUGCCUUGGGGCAAUGCUUAUAUAUGCUGGAUCUACUAGAUGUCUUGUAACAGUGCCUGUCUGAUUAGAGAUUAUCUAGUAUUGAAAGGUGGAUGCUGUCUGUCACAAUCUCUAUUAGGAAUAUUGAAUUUACACAGGCAUGGGGAAGGCAGUCUUUGUUUAUUUGCGGUAUGUGCAGUGACGAAUCUGAAUGUCCCUCUGAUGUCCACAGCCCGUCUCAGGUGGCUGAGAAGUUUCUGCAGUUAGUGACGGACGACAGCAGGAAUGGGGCAGUGCUGAGGGUGACCCAGGCAGGAGCCAGCUAUAUGGAGUACCCAAAAAGUGUUAUGUGAUCUGCGGGAAAAAACCCCAGAGCUACAAUAUAUCCACUGCGCUUCAAACCAGUCACAAUAUAUCCAUCAUACUUCAAACCAGAGCCACAAUAUAUCCACUGUACUUCAAACCAGUCGCAACAUAUCCACUGCUCAACAACAAUAAUAAUAAUAAUAAUAAUAAAUAAUAAUAAUAAUAAUAAUAAUAAUAAUCAAUACAAAUGAUUUUAAACACUUCAGUAUUUUUGCAGUUGUUCUGUUCCCAGUGUACAGGUGUUUCAAAACUAGACCAUAAUAAGUGUAGAUGAUCUAUUUCACUCUCAGUUAGUGCUCAGGACCCCAGUAAGUAGAGCCUGUGUUGGACACUAUGCGAGAUACAGGUUAAUAUAAACACUGUAACAUGUUUAGUUUUGUCUCUGAACUGCUUUCUACCCUGGUGUGGUUCCUCCCCACAGAACUGUAGGUUGCAGUUGGUUUAAAUAACAAGCUAGAUAUCUAAAUUUCAGUUUUAGGUAUAUUUGUUUCUUGUCAUUAGCCAAUAACAUUGAGAAUUUGAAACCUCACACCGGCAUUCUACAGUGUUUUCAUCCACAUUUUAAUUGCAUUGUAAAUGACUUACCACAAGGUGUCGCUAAAAUGCCACUGAAGUACUUGUUAAAGUCUCUAGGGCCAGUUGAAUUGGUAGGAAUCUCUGGGCUAAAGCUGUACAAACAGACACUCAUCUACUGUAGUCUCCACCAGCAAAUACUAAACCCCUCACCCAGAGCAAUAUUUAACAUGAACAAAAACAGCAGUAAAUGAUCCCAAAUAAUGUGUCUUCAAUUAAAAAUACUAAUAUUUAGGGAUGCAUACAGUAUCCUACAUCUGUCUAUCUAAGCCUGUAAAUGUUUGCUUCCUGUUAUGAUAUAGCGUUUGCUGUGAGAGAUGUAUGCUGUGUAUCAUACACUGAUGAAUGCUAAUCAGCACAACUGUAUGAAUUGUGAACUUGUCUUCAGGGCAAAGUCGAUGCUGGAGCUCUUUAAAUGAAUGCUGCAGAACCAGCCCGCUGUAGCUCUGAUGCGGUCCUGAUCAACCACUGGAGAGACAGCUCCAGUAACCUCAAGAGGCAAUCACUUUAUAUCUGGUUAGAGCUGUUGAAGACAGAGGGCAACAGGCAGCAGCUGCAACACAUGGGCUGCAUUUCAAUAUUGCACACACAUCUUCUAGCAAUGUUUAGGUGCGUCCCUAAUAAACUUUUCAGGCUGCAUGCUUGCACUGUGUGUGUGCCGUUUCCCUCAGUGCUUCCUCAUGGUUAUACUGUGCUACGCAUUUACUAUUGUUCACCCCUGUUUGCCAUGUUUAUUAAUAUGCUUUACCAGACCUCGUUAUUUUUCACAAUGCUUGCCUGUGCUUCACC
This is a long non-coding RNA of Polyodon spathula (Mississippi paddlefish), 2382 nucleotides long. RefSeq lists it as uncharacterized. Lineage: Eukaryota; Metazoa; Chordata; Actinopteri; Acipenseriformes; Polyodontidae. The record is from RefSeq and is a predicted model, not a curated record. The transcript is spliced from 3 exons.